GGGCUUAUAGUUUAAUUGGUUGAAACGUACCGCUCAUAACGGUUAGAUUGUAGGUUCGAGCCCUACUAAGCCUA
RNAcentral lists this transfer RNA (74 nucleotides) under Salix viminalis (osier). It matches the Rfam family "tRNA". Rfam says of the family: Transfer RNA (tRNA) molecules are approximately 80 nucleotides in length. Their secondary structure includes four short double-helical elements and three loops (D, anti-codon, and T loops). Lineage: Eukaryota; Viridiplantae; Streptophyta; Magnoliopsida; Malpighiales; Salicaceae. The record is from RNAcentral. RNAcentral also lists the same sequence under 24 other names.